Molecule: long non-coding RNA, 1736 nt
Organism: Pogoniulus pusillus (Red-fronted tinkerbird)
Lineage: Eukaryota; Metazoa; Chordata; Aves; Piciformes; Lybiidae
Exons: 2
Source: RefSeq, a predicted model, not a curated record
CAUGCUCCGGGGCCAGCCUUUAUGGUCUGCUUAAGCCUUUGACAUUUCUGUGCCUUUAAGGCGUGUUUUAAAGCCUUUAAUGGCCAAACCGCAGCAGGGAGCUAAUGAGAGCGUUGCCAGCGCAGGAGAUGGCAGGCCUGCAUCUGUGAAAGAGCCCCCCACUGUUUUGUGGCCUAAGCCUGGGGAAUGUUGAGAUUUAAAGCGUUUAUUCCUAAACUAUUAGUUAGUCUCUCGAUAUACUAACUAUUAAACCUAUUAAUGUAGAUAUUAACAUCAGUUGAAGUGGCUGUGGUGCGCAGUCAAAUCUCCCAGGAGUGGUGCGGAGGAGAGCUGGGCCACAGGCUGCUCGGUGCCCUGGGGGCAAGAGAGUGAGCUCUACACCUCUGGAAAAGGGGAAACAGGAACAGCGAUACAAAAAAUAACCAGGAGCUGCGGAACAGCUACGUUACCAGAGUUCCACAGCAAUAGCUGGGUUAACUGAGCUUGCUGAUCACCCUGCUUCUCAGGGAAAAAACACACAGAAAAUGGAAAUAUCCUCUUUCCGUUUGUAGAGAAAUCAAAAGGCUAAGAAAAUUCUCAGCUCUCCUCCUCUGAGUGACCACUUUGUCUAGCUGGCAGAGAUCCUCAGUGUCCUUACCACCGAAGUCCCCGCGGAAAAAGCCACACCAGCCUGGGCUAGCCCUGACAAGCAAUGUGUUACAAUCCCAGAUGGAAAACAAGGUGUUGCAGAUGAUCUUCCUGUCUCAGCCUUUCACCCAUCACCAGGCCUUGGCUGCAGUCAUCAGAGAUGAACAGCACAGGGUUUGCUGGUUGUCCCGAGCAAUGGGUCCUUGCACAGCCUGUAGCUACUGCAGGCUGUGUGCCAUAGCUUCUGAGCAAACACCAAAACCAGAGUGGAUCCUCUUAGUCUCAGAGAGAUGGGAAACUCUUUACAUAGAGCAGAAAUUGCCACCGUCCUCCGGGAGGGAGUUUUGGGACAAAGACUCUGCAUACCCUCCCCACACUGCUGCCAUAAUGAUAGCAAUCAGCUUUUCCAGAUUGGGGCCCUCUCUGAUUUUAGCUGAAUUUGACUCAGCACAAGAGUACAAUUACUGCCUGACAACUCAUGGAUUAGAAGGACCCAAACCACAACUUCAGACCCAUUAAAAGGAAAUCACUGAUUAAAGACAAAAAGGGCAAUGGCCUGCAGACACCAAUGUGCUCAGCAGGCAGAUGGAGGAGACAGCCUGAACAUUUCACUGCCACCGUUUUGUUGUUUCUGCCCAGACACAACAGGCUGAGCCUUGUACAUGGCUUUUGUGGCAGGGGAUUUAGAGAAGCACAGGCUGUGAGGCACAAAAAAAAAAAAAAGGUUUUUCCUCUUUCUGCCCUUAUUUCCCUCCUGAGAACAGCUAGACCUUCAGCCAGAGCUUGCCCACAAGACACAGUAGAACCAAAAACAUUUUCUUGUGGGUUUUUUUUCCUUUUGAAUUAGCUUUAUAACACAUGCCCUGGUAGCAGUGUAAAAGACACACAAAGCAUUCACAUAAUGCCCAUGCAAUUAUUUUUGUUAAUGAGUGAAGUCUCAGAUGAAGAGCACUAAUAAUACAUGAGCAAUCAAAGAGCAAAUAGCAGCAGUGAACACACCAGAGCAGUUGUGUGGAUCCAUUUCCAACUGUCAGCGCCGAUGCACAGCAGCUGUAAUUAACGUGUUGAAUUUAAUGUUUAAAUUUUAAUAAAUUUUAAUGUGAUAAAAA